AUUGAACGCUGGCGGCAGGCCUAACACAUGCAAGUCGAACGAGUGGCAGACGGGUGAGUAAUGUCUGGGAAACUGCCUGAUGGAGGGGGAUCACUACUGGAAACGGUAGCUAAUACCGCAUACCCUCAGAUGUGCCCAGAUGGGUUUAGCUAGUUGGUGGGGUAACGGCUCACCAAGGCGACGAUCCCUAGCUGGUCUGAGAGGAUGACCAGCCACACUGGAACUGAGACACGGUCCAGACUCCUACGGGAGGCAGCAGUGGGGAAUAUUGCACAAUGGGCGCAAGCCUGAUGCAGCCAUGCCGCGUGUAUGAAGAAGGCCUUAGGGUUGUAAAGUACUUUCAGCGGGGAGGCGUUACCCACAGAAGAAGCACCGGCUAACUCCGUGCCAGCCGCCGCGGUAAUUC
RNAcentral lists this ribosomal RNA (406 nucleotides) under uncultured bacterium. RNAcentral's name for it is "partial 16S ribosomal RNA". It matches the Rfam family "Bacterial small subunit ribosomal RNA", at positions 30 to 526 of the family's 1533-position model. The record is from RNAcentral.